GACCGUGCAAAGGUAGCAUAAUCAUUUGCCUUAUAAUUGAAGGCUUGUAUGAAUGGUUUGACAAGAAUAAAGCUGUCUCUUUACAAAUAAAUAUAAUUUUAUUUACAGGUGAAGAAGCCUGUAUUAUAUUGAAAGACAAGAAGACCCUAUCGAGCUUUAAAUAAGUUAGUAUAAAGUAAAUCGUAUUUAUAUCGAGCUAGUUACUAAAAAUUUUAGUUGGGGCGACUAAGGAACAACUAAAGCUUCCUAAGAGUUUUAAGCGCUUACAAGCUGUGAUCCAAAAAUUUUGAUUAAAGGAAUUAGUUACCGUAGGGAUAACAGCAUUAUCUUUUUUAAGAGUUCAAAUCGAAAAAAAGGUUUGUGACCUCGAUGUUGGACCAGAAUAUCCUGAAGAUGCAGCCGUCUUCAAGGGUUGGUCUGUUCGACCAUUAAAAUUCUACGUGAUCUGAGUUCAGACCGGCGUGAGCCAGGUCAGUUUCUAUCUUCUAUUUUUAAUAUGGACCUAGUACGAAAGGAUUGGUCUAUAAUAAUAAUUAUCCUCCUUGAUGAAGUAUAAAGGCUUAUUAAAUUAUCAAGCACAAUAGAUCAAAUUAGCAAAGAUAAUGCAAUUGACUUAGGAUCAGUAGACAUAGGUGAAAUUCCUUUAUUUGAUACAAGUAUGAAGGUGGCAGAUGAA
This is a ribosomal RNA of 676 nucleotides. The stretch from base 1 to 524 matches the Rfam family "Bacterial large subunit ribosomal RNA", at positions 1944 to 2925 of the family's 2925-position model.